Molecule: ribosomal RNA, 451 nt
Filed under: Megasphaera elsdenii
Lineage: Bacteria; Bacillati; Bacillota; Negativicutes; Veillonellales; Veillonellaceae
Description: bacterial LSU rRNA
Rfam family: Bacterial large subunit ribosomal RNA
Source: RNAcentral
UAACAGGCUUAUCUCUCCCAAGAGUCCAUAUCGACGGGGAGGUUUGGCACCUCGAUGUCGGCUCAUCACAUCCUGGGGCUGAAGUAGGUCCCAAGGGUUGGGCUGUUCGCCCAUUAAAGUGGUACGCGAGCUGGGUUCAGAACGUCGUGAGACAGUUCGGUCCCUAUCCAUCGCGGGCGUAAGAAACUUGAAAGGGGCUGCUCCUAGUACGAGAGGACCGGAGUGGACCGACCAAUGGUGUACCAGUCAUGGCGCCAGCCGUGCAGCUGGGUAGCUACGUCGGGGACGGAUAAACGCUGAAAGCAUCUAAGCGUGAAACCAGCCUAGAGAUGAGGUUUCUCAUUGUUUUAACAAGUAAGGUCCCACAAAGACGAUGUGGUUGAUAGGCCGGGAGUGGAAGUACAGCGAUGUACGGAGCGGACCGGUACUAAUAGACCGAGGACUUGACUUA